Molecule: unclassified non-coding RNA, 413 nt
Filed under: Hevea brasiliensis (rubber tree)
Lineage: Eukaryota; Viridiplantae; Streptophyta; Magnoliopsida; Malpighiales; Euphorbiaceae
Source: RNAcentral
AAAACUGAAACAUUACACAAGAAGUAAACUGCAUUUAUUUAGAGAAAUUGCUCAUAUCAACAAUUGAUUAAAAAAGGAAAAAGAAAAUUUAUGGAGCCUUGUGAAAGUAAAAUGGCAGAAUUCUUUGGCAAUCUUUUGGAGUUGGAAGGUAAAACUCAGUACACCUCCAAGAAGUGGUAAUAACAACAUUGAACUUGCAAGAAUUUCACAUCAAAUCACUCUUUCAUCAUAAAGUAAAUACCAAAGGAGGCAUAACUUACAUGUCCAGUCUUGAGUUGCUAAGAGAAUUAUAAGACAAAUCAUCAUUUUAAUUCUUAAUAUAUAGUACAUUCAUUUCAUUGAUGUCCUAAAACUAGUGAAAUGACAUUCUCCAACUAAUAAUGUAAUUCGUUGGUUAACAGUCUUGUUUUCAA